Molecule: long non-coding RNA, 550 nt
Organism: Poeciliopsis prolifica (blackstripe livebearer)
Lineage: Eukaryota; Metazoa; Chordata; Actinopteri; Cyprinodontiformes; Poeciliidae
Exons: 4
Source: RefSeq, a predicted model, not a curated record
CUCUCUGACUGUGAAGCCUGUGGAUAACAGAUACACCUGCCAGUUCUUUGAGGGAAACAGAAUCAAGAUAGAAACUCAUUACACACCUUCAUCUACUGGCCCCCCCGCCUCGUCUCCUCUGAGCUUCAUCAUGUCGACUCUGAAGAUCACAGGACUAAUCCUGAUGGUUGGAGUCACUGUUGGUAUCAUCAGAACCAGAGGAAGAAAAAAGCCUCAGAAAGACAUUAAUGUCCGUUUUGCUGCUGAUGACGACGCAGUGAAUUAUGAAAAUGUUGGAGAACGUUCUGCUGCCGCCGCUCUCCACUGAGCUCCAUCACAUCAGCUACAGUUUAUUAAAAAUGAUGCUUUUUUUGUGCAUUGCUUCCAUAUGUAUGAGUGUCUUUUUGUUUUUACUUGUUUCCAGAUUAAAUUGAUUAAGGUAUAGGUAACAGAUAAAUCUAAUAUCAGUAAAAUGACCUAUUUUCAAUGAAAGUUCAAGAUCUUUUUCACAGAGAAAAUAUUGAUAGCUACCACAAACUAAACAAUCAAUAGGAGUUUCCUAUUGACUAAA